Citrus sinensis (sweet orange) is the source of this 107-nucleotide non-coding RNA. NCBI's taxonomy places the organism in Eukaryota, Viridiplantae, Streptophyta, Magnoliopsida, Sapindales, Rutaceae. The record is from Rfam.
AUACCAUAAUAAGGACAUCUCUUAAGUAACUCCUUGAAUCUUUCUUAUGCAUCAUACAAACUCUCAUCUUCAAGUUGAUGGAAAGAUAUGAUCUCAUUCCUUAAUUU